Molecule: long non-coding RNA, 446 nt
Organism: Melopsittacus undulatus (budgerigar)
Lineage: Eukaryota; Metazoa; Chordata; Aves; Psittaciformes; Psittaculidae
Exons: 3
Source: RefSeq, a predicted model, not a curated record
CUCCCUCCAUCUCCAUGACAUGCUGGUUGCACAUACUUUUAUCUCUGUGAGGAAAGCAGGCUGGAGAAAGCAUACGAUCACAUGCUCCUACCACUGGCUGGGAGCCAGCCCAGUACCUCCCCUCCGUCACAUGACCGAGUUUGAUUCAUGGCUCCAGCAUGUAUUUCGGGGCAAAUCCUCCCCAAGGGAAAAACAGAAAGGGGCUGGGGAGGCUUUCUCCAGGCCACACUCCUUGGCUGCCUUACCAUGACCUUCCAAAGGAGAUUCCAAUUUGUCUUUGGCCUUUGCAUCACCCGUCCAUAGCACUACCAUUUUACACAGGUCCUGCAAGCUCCUCAGCAUCUCUCACCACUGGAAAUCCACCUCUUUGCUCAACUGAAAUUUGCUCCAGCUGAAAAUUGUAGUAUUGUUGGGGAGACUAAUAAAAACAAUAUUGAAAUUUCUAA